This is a long non-coding RNA of Lycium ferocissimum, 511 nucleotides long. RefSeq lists it as uncharacterized. The transcript is spliced from 3 exons. Lineage: Eukaryota; Viridiplantae; Streptophyta; Magnoliopsida; Solanales; Solanaceae. The record is from RefSeq and is a predicted model, not a curated record.
CUUACCAAAGUCAUGCCAUUUUAUUCCCUAUGAGAAUAUCCAACCACAUGAUACAUCGCCACGAAACAUGCAAUAACUAUAUGACAUGUCAAUAAAUUUCAAAGUAAACUUUUUCACUUCUCAAAUUAAUAAAAAUUCAACGAUGCAUGUCCCAUCUGACAGAGGAAGGACAAAAUUCAAUUCUCCUUUUACCUUUCUUAAAAAAAAGCCAUCAAGAAAUCUAGUUAAAAAAUAGAUGAAUCAGAACAGAGCAAAAAAAGGAAACAUCUCUGGUAAAAAAUUAAAGAACAGGAAUAGAACAAAAGCACUCAAUUUCUAAAAUUUUAGUAGUCAGACAUGGGAGGUAUGAUUUUUUAAGCCACAAAGGUGUAUUGGUCACAAACUGAAACAAAAUGAUUGGGAUCCAACCACUCAGCCUUGUCAACAAAGUCAUAACAAUCUUUUAACUUAAAAACUUUUAACUAGUAUUCUCAAAAACUAAUCUUUACUACAUAUAAAGUACCUUUUUUUU